CCUACGGGUGGCUGCAGUCGAGGAUUUUUCUCAAUGGGGGAAACCCUGAAGGAGCGACGCCGCGUGAGGGAUGAAGGUCUUCGGAUUGUAAACCUCUGUCAUCUGGGAACAAUGCUACUCACCUAACACGUGCGUAGUUGAUAGUACCGGAAGAGGAAGCAGUGGCUAACUCUGUGCCAGCAGCCGCGGUAAUACAGAGACUGCAAGCGUUGUUCGGAUUCAUUGGGCGUAAAGGGUGCGCAGGCGGUGCGUUAAGUCGGAUGUGAAAUCUCACAGCCUAACUGUGAUAGGUCAUUCGAAACUGGCGUGCUAGAGGACUGGAGAGGAGACUGGAAUGGUCGGUGUAGCGGUGAAAUGCGUAGAGAUCGACCAGAACACCGGUGGCGAAGGCGGGUCUCUGGACAGUUCCUGACGCUCAGGCACGAAAGCCAGGGGAGCAAACGGGAUUAGAUACCCAAGUAGUC
This 464-nucleotide ribosomal RNA is filed under the name uncultured bacterium. Its description in RNAcentral is "bacterial SSU rRNA". It matches the Rfam family "Bacterial small subunit ribosomal RNA", at positions 338 to 795 of the family's 1533-position model. The record is from RNAcentral.